UUCCCAAUGGUUCAGUGGUCAGGAAUCUGCCUGCAAAGCAGGAGACCCAAGUUUAAUCCCUGGGUGGGAAA
This 71-nucleotide transfer RNA is filed under the name Ovis aries (sheep). It matches the Rfam family "tRNA". From Rfam's summary of the family: Transfer RNA (tRNA) molecules are approximately 80 nucleotides in length. Their secondary structure includes four short double-helical elements and three loops (D, anti-codon, and T loops). Further hydrogen bonds mediate the characteristic L-shaped molecular structure. tRNAs have two regions of fundamental functional importance: the anti-codon, which is responsible for specific mRNA codon recognition, and the 3' end, to which the tRNAs corresponding amino acid is attached (by aminoacyl-tRNA synthetases). tRNAs cope with the degeneracy of the genetic code in two manners: having more than one tRNA (with a specific anti-codon) for a particular amino acid; and 'wobble' base-pairing, i.e. permitting non-standard base-pairing at the 3rd anti-codon position. Lineage: Eukaryota; Metazoa; Chordata; Mammalia; Artiodactyla; Bovidae. The record is from Rfam by way of RNAcentral.